UACGAAGGGGGCUAGCGUUGCUCGGAAUUACUGGGCGUAAAGCGCACGUAGGCGGUCUUUUAAGUCGGGGGUGAAAUCCUGGAGCUCAACUCCAGAACUGCCUUCGAUACUGGAAGACUCGAGUCCGGGAGAGGGUGAGUGGAACUGCGAGUGUAGAGGUGAAAUUCGUAGAUAUUCGCAAGAACACCAGUGGCGAAGGCGGCUCACUGGCCCGGUACUGACGCUGAGGUGCGAAAGCGUGGGGAGCAAACAGGG
RNAcentral lists this ribosomal RNA (255 nucleotides) under uncultured bacterium. Its description in RNAcentral is "partial 16S ribosomal RNA". It matches the Rfam family "Bacterial small subunit ribosomal RNA", at positions 524 to 777 of the family's 1533-position model. The record is from RNAcentral.